UGACGCUGGCGGCAGGCUUACACCUGCCAGCCUAGCGGGGAAGUGGUAGCUUGCUACUAACCUACGGCGGACGGGUGAGUAAUGCUUAGGAAUCUGCCUAUUAGUGGGGGACAACGUUUCGAAAGGAACGCUAAUACCGCAUACGUCCUACGGGAGAAAGCAGGGAUCAUUUGACCUUGUGCUAAUAGAUGAGCCUAAGUCGGAUUAGCUAGUUGGUGGGGUAAAGGCCUACCAAGGCGACGAUCUGUAGCUGGUCUGAGAGGACGACCAGCCACACUGGAACUGAGACACGGUCCAGACUCCUACGGGAGGCAGCAGUUGGGGAAUUUUGGACAAUGGGCGCAAGCCUGAUCCAGCAAUGCCGCGUGCAGGAUGAAGGCCUUCGGGUUGUAAACUGCUUUUGUACGGAACGAAACGGUGAGCUCUAAUAAAGUUUGCUAAUGACGGUACCGUAAGAAUAAGCACCGGCUAACUACGUGCCAGCAGCCGCGGUAAUACGUAGGGUGCGAGCGUUAAUCGGAAUUACUGGGCGUAAAGCGUGCGCAGGCGGUUAUGUAAGACAGAUGUGAAAUCCCCGGGCUCAACCUGGGACCUGCAUUUGUGACUGCAUAGCUAGAGUACGGUAGAGGGGGAUGGAAUUCCGCGUGUAGCAGUGAAAUGCGUAGAUAUGCGGAGGAACACCG
This 683-nucleotide ribosomal RNA is filed under the name uncultured Delftia sp. RNAcentral's name for it is "bacterial SSU rRNA". It matches the Rfam family "Bacterial small subunit ribosomal RNA", at positions 31 to 711 of the family's 1533-position model. Lineage: Bacteria; Pseudomonadati; Pseudomonadota; Betaproteobacteria; Burkholderiales; Comamonadaceae. The record is from RNAcentral.